This 263-nucleotide ribosomal RNA is filed under the name uncultured bacterium. RNAcentral describes it as "partial 16S ribosomal RNA". It matches the Rfam family "Bacterial small subunit ribosomal RNA", at positions 524 to 786 of the family's 1533-position model. The record is from RNAcentral.
UACGGAGGAUCCAAGCGUUAUCCGGAUUUAUUGGGUUUAAAGGGUGCGUAGGCGGGGAAUCAAGUCAGCGGUGAAAGUUUGCGGCUCAACCGUAAAAUUGCCGUUGAAACUGGUUCUCUUGAGUGUAGAUGAGGUGGGUGGAAUUCGUGGUGUAGCGGUGAAAUGCUUAGAUAUCACGAAGAACUCCAAUUGCGUAGGCAGCUCACUGGGCUACAACUGACGCUGAGGCACGAAGGUGCGGGGAUCAAACAGGAUUAGAUACC